AUGUUCACCGAGAAACAAGUGGAAGUGUUGAAUAUCUUGUUUAAUAAGAACCCAUACCAAAACCCAAGCCUUCAGAAAUAAACAGCUUCAAAAAUGGUCAUACAUCCAACGGCACUGCAGGUUUGGUUCAAGAAUUACGGAGUAAAACUCAAGAAUGCAAUCUGUGAGCACAUUCAGGAAACACAAGAGGCUUAACAACAGCAAUUACCAGGGGGAGGCAUCAAGACCAGUCCUUCCAAGGGAAACAUGGUAAUACGACCCGGAUCUCCUAAUGAUGACUAUUCUAUAUCCCUCAUAUAUAGAGAUCUUUUGAUACUGUCACUGCAACUCAGCAUAUGUCUCAGUUUGAAGGUUCCCACAGAUCACUCUGUUGAUCUCAAAAUAGUCCACUUUGGCUGCUGCCAAGAUCCUAACCUACACUGCCUCUAUCCCAUUUUGGAAUCCCAAGUUCUUUCCCCAAGUUUCA
RNAcentral lists this long non-coding RNA (466 nucleotides) under Homo sapiens (human). RNAcentral's name for it is "non-protein coding lnc-TRPC5-2:1". The record is from RNAcentral. Lineage: Eukaryota; Metazoa; Chordata; Mammalia; Primates; Hominidae.